RNAcentral lists this transfer RNA (72 nucleotides) under Bos taurus (domestic cattle). It matches the Rfam family "tRNA". Rfam says of the family: Transfer RNA (tRNA) molecules are approximately 80 nucleotides in length. Their secondary structure includes four short double-helical elements and three loops (D, anti-codon, and T loops). RNAcentral also lists the same sequence under 4 other names. Lineage: Eukaryota; Metazoa; Chordata; Mammalia; Artiodactyla; Bovidae. The record is from Rfam by way of RNAcentral.
GGGGGUAUAGCUUAGUGGCAGAUUACAUGCUUAGCAUGUAUGAAGCCCUGGGUUCUGUCCCCAGUACUUCCA